AUACUGGAUUAAGAGAAGUGGCAUUAGAGACACUCCUAGAGAUCCUGUGCAGAGGUGCAGCCGACGGUAAGAGAGAGAAUGGACUCAGAGAGUGUACUGGUGAUGUAGCUAACAAUGAGUUGGUCUUGUUGGUACCACUGAGCAUAGGCGGAAUUGGUUUGGGUAAGAGUGGCGAUGGUGGUUGUGGGUGUUGUGGAGGUUUGGGUAAAAGGUUGUUCAUGAGUGCCAUCAAUAAAUUUCCAUAUAGGUCAUGCAUGACUGACUAAAAAACGUUUGAGUUGGCAGAGCCAAAAGAGAUAGUUGGAGUCAGUAAGCUUGAUAAAAUGAGAAGAGUUGG
Molecule: long non-coding RNA, 337 nt
Filed under: Prunus persica (peach)
Lineage: Eukaryota; Viridiplantae; Streptophyta; Magnoliopsida; Rosales; Rosaceae
Description: long non-coding RNA (PPER_LNC004228)
Source: RNAcentral